This 407-nucleotide ribosomal RNA is filed under the name uncultured bacterium. Its description in RNAcentral is "partial 16S ribosomal RNA". It matches the Rfam family "Bacterial small subunit ribosomal RNA", at positions 28 to 526 of the family's 1533-position model. The record is from RNAcentral.
GACGAACGCUGGCGGCGUGCCUAAUACAUGCAAGUAGGACGCAGUUGCGAACGGGUGAGUAACGCGUAGGUAACUACCUAUUAGAGGGGGAUAACUAUUGGAAACGAUAGCUAAUACCGCAUACUAGUAGAUGGACCUGAUUUGUAUUAGCUAGUAUGUAGGGUAAUGGCCUAACUAGGCAACGAUACAUAGCCGACCUGCGAGGUUGAUCGGCCACACGGGGACUGAGACUCUGCCCAGACUCCUACGGGAGGCAGCAGUAGGGAAUCUUCGGCAAUGGGGGGACCCCUGACCUGGCAACGCCGCGUGAGUGAAGAAGGUUUUCGGAUCGUAAAGCUCUGUGGUUAAGGGAGCGUUACUUAACCAGAAAGGGACGGCUAACUACGUGCCAGCAGCCGCGGUAAUAC